CCUACGGGGGGCAGCAGUGGGGAAUAUUGCACAAUGGGGGAAACCCUGAUGCAGCGACGCCGCGUGAGCGAUGAAGUAUUUCGGUAUGUAAAGCUCUAUCAGCAGGGAAGAAAAUGACGGUACCUGACUAAGAAGCCCGGCUAACUACGUGCCAGCAGCCGCGGUAAUACGUAGGGGGCAAGCGUUAUCCCGAUUUACUGGGUGUAAAGGGGGCGUAGACGGUCCUGCAAGCCAGAUGUGAAAGCCCGGGGCUCAACCCCGGGACUGCAUUUGGAACUGUAAGGCUAGAGUGUCGGAGAGGCAGGCGGAAUUCCUAGGGUAGCGGUGAAAUGCGUAGAUAUUAGGAGGAACACCAGUGGCGAAGGCGGCCUGCUGGACGAUGACUGACGUUGAGGCUCGAAAGCGUGGGGAGCAAACAGGAUUAGAUACCCCGGUAGUC
RNAcentral lists this ribosomal RNA (439 nucleotides) under uncultured bacterium. RNAcentral describes it as "partial 16S ribosomal RNA". It matches the Rfam family "Bacterial small subunit ribosomal RNA", at positions 338 to 795 of the family's 1533-position model. The record is from RNAcentral.